Molecule: RNA transcript, 11798 nt
Organism: Dermacentor andersoni
Lineage: Eukaryota; Metazoa; Arthropoda; Arachnida; Ixodida; Ixodidae
Gene: exd
Gene name: PBX homeobox extradenticle
Source: RefSeq, a predicted model, not a curated record
CUUGACUGGCAUUAUCGUUCAACCCACCCUGAAGCCGCUCGCUGUCCGUCAAAAGUAUUCCAAUCAAAACACUCAAUUACAGUUGGUUUAGCGUAGCGUGAGUGCGGACUUAUGGAUGGUGGUGCUCCGGGAGCCGUGGCUGACGCCGUGUGAGGCCUACCGCUGGUGUUUGUAGCCGGGCCGCCCGUGAAAAAGGUGCUUCCGAGCGAUGGACGAGCAACAAAGAAUGAUGCACCCAGUAUCACAACAUCCCAUCGUGAGCAUGGCGGGCCAUGUCGUGCCCCAGCAUGGUUACGGAAUGCCUCCGCAAUCGCACGGUGUCGACCCGACGGGCCAACAGGCCGCACCCGACCAGGAGCCGAGGAAGCACGACAUUUCGGAAAUUCUCCAACAGAUCAUGAACAUCACCGACCAGAGCUUGGACGAAGCGCAAGCUAGGAAACACACGCUCAACUGCCACCGAAUGAAGCCCGCUCUCUUCAGCGUCCUCUGCGAAAUCAAAGAGAAAACAGUGCUGAGCUUACGGAACACGCAAGAGGAAGAGCCCCCCGACCCGCAGCUGAUGCGGCUGGACAACAUGCUGAUCGCCGAGGGCGUGGCGGGACCCGAGAAGGGCGGCGGCGCCGGCGCGGCCGCCAAUGCCUCAGCCGCCGCCUCGGCCGGCGGACAGCCCGAAAACGCCAUCGAGCACUCCGACUACCGGGCCAAACUGGCGCAAAUCCGCCAGAUCUACCACCAGGAGCUCGAGAAGUACGAGCAGGCGUGCAACGAGUUCACGACGCACGUGAUGAACCUGCUGCGCGAGCAGAGCCGGACGCGUCCCAUCACGCCGAAGGAGAUCGAGCGCAUGGUCCAGAUAAUCCACAAGAAGUUCAAUUCCAUCCAGGUGCAGCUCAAGCAGAGCACCUGCGAAGCCGUCAUGAUCCUCCGCUCCAGGUUCCUCGACGCCAGGCGGAAGAGGCGGAACUUCAGCAAGCAGGCGACGGAGAUCCUGAACGAGUACUUCUACUCGCACCUUAGCAACCCGUACCCGUCGGAGGAAGCCAAGGAGGAACUCGCAAGGAAGUGCGGCAUCACUGUCUCUCAGGUGUCUAAUUGGUUCGGCAACAAGCGGAUACGAUACAAGAAGAACAUAGGGAAAGCGCAAGAAGAGGCCAAUCUCUACGCAGCAAAAAAGGCAUUCCCGAAAAAGAAAACAGACAGACAUACGGCCGGCGCGUCAGCCUACAGCAUGGUGCCGACGACGCAGGGUCAGCAGGGUCCUAUGAUAAGCCCACCGCCGCCGGGAGCGCCGCAGGACUCAAUGUACAACAUGAGUAUGAACGGCGGAGACUCCUACCAGAACGCCAUGGGCGCCAACGUGCAAUCGCAGCUCUGCAAUUUGGAGACGUGGGCCUGAGGCAGCGGCGGCGGCGAUCGUUGAUGAUGGCUCGCGGGAUGAAGCUCGCCUCUGCUCUUUGGCAGCGCCAGUGUCGCGUCGUCGUCGCCUGCCGACCUAACCGCCGGCUUUUUGUAAAGACAGAAAGACACGUUACGCGGGAGUCGCCCCCCUCCCCCUCCCAUCCCCACCUUGCCUCCGUUUCCUUCUUGCCCCUUUCUUUUUUUUCCCUCGCCUCUGCGUCGGCCCAGGAAAAGAAUGCAAAAGAAAGGGGGAAGCGAAGGAAACCACCAAAUGCAAAUACGGACACCAGUGUGCACGCGUGCGUGUGUUUGUUCUCUGCGUGUCUCUGUGUGCGUGCGUGCUCGCGCAACUCUGCCAAGUUUCGGCGAAACGAAGACAGAGUGGGGAGAAGACGACGGGACAUCGUCGCAUCGGCGCUCCCUGCAAACGGCAGGCAAAAGCGAGGAGGCGCGCUGGCUGGGAACGUGGCGCUGUUCCCUUCUGUGAAGAAAAUGGCGGAGCGUGCGCGGCCCGCGUCGACCUGCCUGCAAGUUCUGCGCGCCGGACCGACGCGAGACCACCGUGCCCGAGGAGGAGGAGGUCCCCACCCACAUCAUCCCCGUGCGACGCGACGACCACCACCGCCGCUGCUGACCCUGCGUGCUGCCGCAGCUCGAACCCCGAGUGGGGAAGUAAAGAAGAAAAUCCGCUUCUGCGUCUUUCGCGUUCCUCUUCACCGCCAUCCAAGAAAACGAGGGGGAGAGAGAAAUCCCGACGACUGCACCGACCACAGUCGGACGGGAACGACGCGUGUCGCCUCUCCCAGCACGCGCCACCUACCGCGUGCUCAGGUGUGUGACUGCUGCAUGACACGGUGUUGCGACCGCGGCUCCACUGCCUGCGGUUCUGUACCUGCCCGCCGGCAGGCCUUCCAUCCCAUCCGAAGCUGGACUUGCAAAUACUGUGCUUAUGUUACUUUUUUCCCCGAAGAGCGAGCCCCGUCAUCGUUGUGCACGUCACUACCUGUCGUGUCGGUUACGACGUUAUUGAACUGUUCGUCGUAGUGACUGAAACCAGAGCUACAGGAGCUGGGACCGCUUUACGACUUGGCCGCAUAGGGCUGCGUUUGUCCGUGAGCCUCCCUGUACACCGUUAUCAUCGUUGCCGGGUACUGAUCGUGUUGCCUUGUGACGUCAUACUAGCGCCAAGUGCGCAGCCCCUGUCCUAUUUCGGCGGCAGUUGUUGUCUGUGUCAAGCGGAGGCGCUCUUCAUCCUAGCUCCUCGAUUUCGCCCGAGCGACUCAAGCUGGUUGCUGCUCCCGCAGGUUACUGUUAUCUUGAGAAAGCUGGAGAAAGUACCUUUUCUUUAUCCUUUAAAGCAGAGGUGGUUUCUACUUACGCUUCUUGCUGAUUAGCAGCCAAAUUCAACAAUGAAGAUUACGUUGCCGCUAGCACGGACAUAAAUCACCUUCAUAGUACAGCUUCGCACUGCGGAAUUCAUGAUUACGGGAUGAGUUCACGUGCUUUUAUUCUGAAGUCAGAUAGUACUUUCCCCCCAUUGUACCCGUUGCAGGCGUCCCGACUGAAACACCUCUUAUUAAAACAAAAAAUAACACAUCGUGACGCGUCUACUGCUGUCAGAUUUUGUUACCUGAACAUUUGUCCGCUACUGCUGCAAAAAAUUAAUAUGGUAAAACUGAUCGAACUCCUUCCAAAAUUAAAACAGACGUGCGUGCUUGUUCUGGUAUCCUCGGUUUGGUACUCCUGCGAACCUGAUUAUUCGCCCUAAACUAGAUAAUGUUGUUGCAAUAGCGACAAGUUCAACCACUGCUGCUCCUGUAGUGGACUCGCAGCAAAAAUUUUACUUCAAUGUAGAGUGUAACGCCUGCGAUUUCUGCUGGAAUUGGUCAGCUUCCGAUGGAGAAUACUCCCGCGGUCACAGAUAAGCUGUCGCCGAACUGGGACGCCUCAAAAGUAAAUGGGGGCAACGUAACCUACGCGAGGCUCAAGCCAGGAUGCGGUGAACGCAUGGGCACUCACGGACACACGUGUUCUUUGCCUUUCCCUUUUUUUUUUUUUUUUUUUCUAAUGCUUCUGAAUUGCUUGCCUGUGUUUGUCACUUGGGAACGAAUGUUGCGACUGCUGCGAAGCCCAUCACCACUACGUCUCGGACGACUGUCUCAAUGUGUAAGAUAAGAAGAUGAGAGAAUCUCCCGAUUUCCAUCCCUCUAACCCUUCGCUAACCCGGCCCGUCGCCAUAGUUAUGUGGACAUGGCUUCCGUCACUCGCCGGCGUUUAUUGCCGGCCUCGUUGGUGCUUGCUGGGCCGACAGUGUCAUGGAUUUGUGUGGUGUCGACAGUGUUCACGGUUCCCAUCUGAGUUAACGGUGCGCAAACUUCUCGGGCCUGAAGAAGGAACUGCGUUUAUUUGUCCCCUGUUCUAAUGUCGCAACUCUAGCGCGCUACGCCGCAUAUUCUAUUAAAAGGGUUUGGGUGCUACGGAGGGGGCUUCCGAAAUUCUUGGCAGGUUGGCGUUAGUUCCGCUAAAUGUUCCUCAGAGUUGCACAAUGAAUGAAAAACAAAAGUAAAAAACUGAGAAGUCGGAGCCUCUAGAACUUGGCCUUUAUUGUUUUGCGGCGUCUACCAUAAUUGAAUCGAAAUUGCAAGCGCUUCAAUGCGUGCGUAGCUAUUCCUCGAUAUACCCGAGAGGUUUGUCGCUCCUUUUUUUGCGUUGACCUAUGUUGAUCGCGCGUGUCCUGGAGUGUCGACACGAUUUUGUUAGCAUUUUAGGUAUGAUCUGUUGCGUAGUCCUUACUUUCCUCCACUUCCACUGGCUGUUGCUCUUUAAGAGAAGCGCUGCAGCUGCGGCAGAUUUAGUGCGAACGCGAAACUGCGCCGCCGACGUCGGCCACCGACUAACCUUGCGGGUGGCAGUAGCGCGUCGCCAUGGUGCCGGCUGAUUUGCGGGAAAAGCUAAUGACGCUUCUCCGUUUCGGCGUUCGGACAUUUAUUGCGGACGCGUGGAUCGUUUUUUGCUUUCAAAGACGAGGGAUUAAAAUUGGCGGGAACGCUGCUACUUUACCCGAAAGUCUCUCUCUCUCUCUCUCUGCCCUCUCGCAUUCGACAGUUCGCCGCUUGGUGGCCUCGGCAACUGCAAUGCCAGCAGUGGCACUUUUUAGAAUUGUUCGCCGCGAUGCCCGAUUUGCACUUUUUUUAUUUCCUUUAAAGUUAAGGCUGUCUGAUCUGCUCUUACCUUAGUGUGGGUGUCGCAUGUUAGGUUUUCCCCGUCCUGGUCCUGCAGAUUUCGUCAGCUAAAGCUUCGAAUACAGAAUUCGCUGAAGGCUUGUAGCGAUUUGUCCAUAAUUUCAACCAAAGUCGGCAUAUGUGACGUAGCGACGUAAGUAGCGACAGCGGCACAGCUGUCCCCAGGUGGCGUGUUCGAUUCCCAUCUGCGGCGGACGCAUUUCAUUUAAAGCAGAAUGGAGCAACGCCCAUGUAAUUUCGAGUGCUUUUUCAGAAUAGAUCGGUAGCCGUCAACUACUGAGGCCCGCGUAGUCCAGAUCUAUGUCAAUUUUAGGAAGAUGGAUAGGGCUCAGUGGUUAACUACGGAAGCUUCACAUGCGAAGCUUCGUAGUACACGCAGGGACGACAAGGUGCAUUAGUUAAGCCCUUCGAUUUACGGACGACAGCUGAGUGAGUGAAAGCAUAUUAGUGCGGAGACGUGUUCUGUAGCUGAGGCGAUAAUGUGAAAAUCUUCGCAAAAUUUCAGUAAUUCCAGGUGGCCAUCUCACCGACUUCGAGGUCUACGGUGUUCUGAACCUAUAUGCCAUUAACGAUCGGUUGUGCUGUGUGCUUUAACAAAAUUAUUUUGAAUCAGCCUGCGCUCUAGGGGAAAUUUAGGAAACGUGUAGCGCGGCCAAAAUCGAGCCUUCUUUUUGGCACGAAGCAGGAUGAAAAAAGGUGGACAGCUAGACCAGUGUGCAUGGGUUAAGGCACAUCCGUAAUACCAGCGCCCCAGUUGAGUGAGGCAUCAGCAGCGCUGAUUAUGAUCGGGCUCAUUAUCUCACGGCAGCGCCUCCCCCCCCCCCACUCUUUCCCUCCAACUGGAAGGCUCGCCGCCGCGCAAGUUUUCUGAUUAAUUCCAACGAACUCGGCGCUUGUUUUUCUCCCCAGUAGUGCGCGCCGGAACUCCUUCCCCUGAGCUUCUCGUACGCCAGCGGACGGGAGAGGAGCUUCUCUCGUGCUCGACCCAGUUACCGUCUCCUCUUUCCUCAAGAAUCUUUCUCGGGCACAGUCCCACGCACAUUCUCCGGCGGUGUGUUGCUCGUGUUUCCCAGGCGGCCUGCUUGUUCCUCGGCUCGCCCGGCGCGCGCAGAGAGCCUCGGGUUCUCUUCUUUCUCAUUUUUUCGGACCUCGGCGCUUUCGGGCCGUGGGACGCCGCUGGUGGGAAGAAAAGUUUUCGGGAGGCGGCAGCCGUGAUCGUUGCCUCUCUUCUGCUGUGUUCGCUCCGGGCAGUCGUGCGGAGGCGGGGGAGUGCGGGCUAGUAACAAGCAGCGACAUAGGCACGUUCUCUCCGGGGCUCCCGUAGCAGACGCGAAGAGAAAGUAAAAUGAAGGCUAUCUCAUUUUCUUGGGUGUCUCAGAUGUGCUGCUUGGGCAACGGUGAGAAAACUAGUCCUCGUGCUGAGAUAGCGAAGGGUGGAGGGGGGGGGGGGGGGAGGAAGCGAUAGAAAGUGGGCUUUUUCGACCGCGCAUUGGACAAGGCGGUUUCGUCCCCUCCUCGGCUGGGCCAAUGAGCGAUUCGAGACACGCCCACUUUCUUGCGGCGUUCUCUCCCCUCCUCCUUCGCUCAUGUAUGGGUGAGCGUCUUUCGAUGCUCCCGGCUCCGUUUCAUAGUGCGCUCGCACUCCGCCGUGCCCCGCGAACGGUGGGCGAGAGGCGACCGGCUGCGGCGCAUGCGCACUCUCGCGUGCGCCGUGAGCCCGCUCCGGGCCGAGUCUCGACCGGGGCCCUGGCGGGCUCGGACGCCGACGGAACCCAGGUUCGUCUCCGCGACCGGGAGCCUCGCUUCUUCCCCCUGUAUGGCUCUACGCUCCGGGAAAGCCUUUUUUGCGAAUUUACUCGCCAUCCAUUUUCUUCUUUUUUUUUUUUUCUUGCGAAACCUGUUGUGCACUUUCCGUUUUCUCGCUUAACAUCUCCCGAUAGGCAACGGCGAUGGGGGGAAGGUGAAUCCUGAUAGUCUGCGUGCGGCAGCAUCUUGAUCCCCCAAUAAGGUCAGAAUAAAGCUGAGCCUUUAUUAUGACCAUGUAGAAUCAAUAAAGUGAUGUAGAAUCGCUCUGGUAUUCUGCUUUGAACACUGUGGGCAUCCGCUCAAUGUUAUCCUCCCAAGGUUCGUGUUAGCUGUGGAUGUUGGGUUGUUUUGUGACGGUCAUUGCGUGUCGGGCACCAAGUUAGCAGCGAGUUGUUUCUUAUACCCUUGACGUUCCGCCUUAUUUGGACUGUUUGUAACCAGGCUUCUAAACCCAUAGUACCUAGCUUUAGUUUUGACGAGGCGUUAAGCACGAUCAAGUAAAUUAAGUCAAGCGCUCAUGUCCUCCGCCGAUCUGCGGAGGCUGUAAACGGUUCGCACAUAAAUAGUUGUCUACGCAAAGGAAUCCGGCGAAAUUUUCUAGCGGCGCUUUAGGACAGCUAUCAAAGCACCUCGUCGGCGGUAUGAGGUAUGAAUUCAUGUUUUUCUUCUUGCUUUUUUUUUCUUGCUGCUGCGGAUAAUCUUUGCCGAUUCUCGUUCGCUUUUUUUUUUUUUUUUUGGCCGGAUUAGUUCGAUUGGGAGCGCAUACACGGCCCGAGGCGUAUUGCUGCCAUCGAUUUCAAGUGCGCCGCGCGGAAUGAGAAAGUUUAGCGCCCCUGUCGAUACUGUCCCGCGGAUAAAUAACAAAAGGAGAGCGCCUAGCUUGGCCUGUCAUACUUCUUUGACGUCCCCUUGCAAGCUAAUUCGAUUUACCGUUCGUCGCUUUGUGUGUCUGGCGCUUUCUUUGCUCACAACUCUGCAAGUCACUUUCCUCGUCGCGUUUUUCUUUUCUUCCUUUCUUUUUUUUUUCCUUAUCGCGACCGUAUUGCGGUUCAUUCUCAUACGGCGCAUGCAACCCCGCGUGUGAUUUCUAGGCAAACACUGAAAAUUCCAACGCCGCCCUGGCCGGUUUCUUUUUUUUUUUUUAACAGUAUUCUAAAGUUAGCUUCGCAGACGAUUUUCCUCAGUAUUUCCUUCGCUUUUGUUCAAUCACAGACUCAAUUUUAGCCAUAAAAUAUGUGAUAGAGACCACACAAAGUAAUAUAUAAGGUAACCUGAGCAUAGCGGCCACUUGGUUAUUGUCGUUUUAGUUCUGUCAUUGCUGCCAUUUGCAAGGCAUAUUGUAAGCGCCCGUCACGUUCCUUCGCUAGCGCAGGACGUUUCGUCGCCGCACCGGCUACGGUAGCUCGGCGACUAAUGGCGUUGUGCUGCUGAGCACGAGGUCGCGGGUUCGAUCGCGCGGGCCGCGGAAACCGCAUUGCGAUGGUGGCGGAAUGCAAAAACGCUCGUGUACUUUGCACAGGGUGCACAUUGCAGAAGCCUAGCUGGUCAACAUUAAUCCGGUUUCAGUUUAUUGUUACCAAACGCUCAUUCUAGAUAUGCACUAGACAAUUUUUGUGGGGACAGGAGCGCAUGCUGUACAAGCCACACAGCAUUCUCAGAAAUGACGAAGAGUGGCCUACUUUAGACGGAAAAAAAAAAAAAAACGCUACAUUACGUACUCGCCAAGAUAGGCAAGUGAGAUCGCGCGGCAGUUUAUGGCAAAAGACUCCCUUUUUUUUUUUUCCCCAUAAGUUUUCAUAACCUCGUCCACGAACCAACAGGUUGCUUUUCCUUAGCGAAAAAUUUUGUUCGAGGGUUCACUUGCUGCUGAACACGAGAACGAGUUACUUAAUGUGCUGUAAACACAAAGGGCGCUCCAAACACAGUAACCUGACAAGACCAUGUUUUCGCAAUUCUGUGAGUAAGCGGCAGUUAUAUGCUAAAUUGCGCUAAUGUGCCCUAAAUAAUGGUAAUGUUACCUACGGAAGGCUAACUUGUGGCCUGAAAGGGUGCGAGGCCCAAAGGUUGCAUCAAUCGUAGCAAAAUUUGGAGCAUGCCAACAAUAUGUAACUCUGGCACCGGGUGUGGUAUUCGAGCGUAGUUUCCUGGCUCUGAAGUGACUUGUAGAUUGCCAGAUGAAAAUUUUACUAGCAUUGAUUUCACUUCACACGCACUUGAACAAUGACCGAAACAUCUAAGCCCGUACGGCUCUUCCCGUUAUAUGCUGUGAAGAGCAGCGUUGCUACCCAUAAGAAUGUGAAACUGCGCCCUUUUAAUGAAACCUAUGUUGGAGCAUGCUCCACUGCGGUACAUGUGGACCUCGUUGUUUCGCAUGAAAGAACAUCGCGUACAGAAAUAGCGGCAUGAGUUUGCCUCUCGAAGGUGCUGUUUAAUGACAUACCCGCACAUUUUAGGCAGUGAAUUCACCCAAGAUCAGGUCAGUGGCCGUUUUCCAUUUCUGUAACUGCUGUCCCCCGUGGCGUCCUCGAUUCGAUAUGCGCCAUCUUCUUCGCGACUACUCGAACUAAGGAUCGUUCAAGAAAAUGUUUUUUCUCUAACCGAAGCAGCAAGAUGUAAGGAAAUUUCAAGCGAGCGUUGAAGAAAACGUCGCAAAGGGGUCAGCUGUCCGAAUUUGUUCAAUAGCGAAACCGUCAAGUGGCGAAACAGCGUUGCUCUUGUAAAAGACAUAUUCAUGCGUACGGCCUUUCGCGCAUUUUUUUUUUCUUUGUACAUCCUCGCCAGGUGUUCUCGGAACUCGAGAGCCACCUUUCCCUUUCUCGCGUCUUCGGUAGCGCUAAAUUGCCGUCAUAUCUGUUCUAGAAGCUAAAAAAAUUGACCCGUGGUUUACGCGUGUCUGCCUCCGGUUUCGCGGCGACCGCUUCAUUUCGUCCAGCGUUUGCGAGACCUGCGCCGGGUGUCGCAAGAGCAAACGAAAAGUCUGCCGCAGCUGCACUUAUUUGAGCAUUGCCCCCUUCCCCGCUAUGGCAUCGUCUUACCUCCUCCCGAUGUUCCCGCCUUCUGUUUUGUGUUCACUGUCAUUGGAAGCACGCAACGCUAACCCUAAAUCACAUGCAAUCGCGUGUGAUUGCGGAGGUUUCUCGGAAAACACGAGCAAGCGGGUAAGCGCGCACGAGGCUAGAGCGACCUUUUUUAACUUACGACGCCAUUGUUCAGCGUAAUGUUUACCGUCAUUCGAGCCCGACCGAGGUCGGCUGACGCGUCAUUAAAACUGUAAAGUUGACAGAAAGCAAACGAUAUUUCGCGUCUUUUUGAACUUCUGGGACGAAACUUUUUGCUUGCUUCAGUUUGCAUGCUUGGCAGAAAUACAGGGCGGAUAAGUGGGUUUCGCAAAAUGUGAUCCACUCUUACGCAUAAUCUGUAUUAGAAUAUGGCAACGCGGUUGAAUAGCUGUUAUGUUUUCGUCUUCGUCUAAUCUUCAGCGUAAUAAUGGCGUCGUGCUUUAAUGGGGAGAUUUCGGGUGUGUCUGACAUGCGGAUGGUAGACUUCUUGAUUUAGAUUUCGAUUAUCUUUCGUUUAAUCAAACCUGGCUGCACUUACUAGUUGGCGGCCCGAGCUUGUGAACCCGGCCUCGGUGCCAGCCUCAUCCGCUGCUCUCCUUUGCGCAGCGAACAGCAUGUAGUGCUAAUUUUCCGCGAGGAGUUCUGUGUGUACGUACCUCCUGUGUACCUCGCGUGCCCGGCGAAUUGGGCGCGCAGAAGGCAUACACUCACUGCCGAGGGGACAGCGUGUGGGUGCAGGGAGUGGAUUCGGGUCUGUUUUGCGCGUGCGCGUGUGUGACACAAAUGUAAAUACACUCCUCUAAAUAACAGGGUAGCAUGUGCUGGGCAGGCGCGCUAUGUUUGGUGCGCCAAUAAUGUCGAUUGCCAUGUGAACGGUGUGCUGUUGACGACGACGUAGGUGUGUGCAUGUGUUGCGCGCGGGUGUCGUUGUUCCAGGCACUGCGUUUCCCGUGCAGGAGGCGGCCAUCCGACCACUGCUUCGCGUGGUCGUGCCACCUGAGUGUAUCGUGUGUGUGUGCGUCUGUUUUCUUUUUACGUGUGUUCAGGGUUCAAACGCACUCGUGUUUCUUUUUUUUUCUUUCCUUUUUUUUUCUUUGAUUCGUCCCUUCUACCCUAUCUCUCAUCUUCUGUGCGUGUACAGUGUUCAUGCGGCUGGGCACGUUACGUGCGCGAAUUCACGCAACUCGAAACACACGUGUAAAUACGUAUCUCGGCGCCAUCUGACAUGGCCUCCCCGCCGUUUGUUUGUUGUGCUCCAAGUGGCUGACUGACUUGUGUAUGUGUGCGAGUGUGCAGAUGUGAACGCUGUUCUGCAAGAUCUUUCUUUUUUUUAUGCGUGCGUGGUGCAGAGUUAUUUCCUCGAGGACUUUUAUUUUCUGUCUUAUCACCAUACUCUGGCCCGAGGUGUAGUGUGUUCUUGAGAAGAAGACAGCGACGGCAAUAUAAGCUAAGUGACACAGACUCUGCGGACGGUCGUCUGCGUCUUUCUAAUGCAGACGAUGGGAGUGUGUGCGCUUUGCAGGUGUGUGUAUGUGUGUGUGUGUGUGUGGGCGUGUGUGCGUUUGCGUGCGUGCGUGUUUGCGUGUGUGUCGCGACCGCGAGAGGACGAUGUUACAAGAACGCGCGCCGGUGCAAGCACCGGGCACCAGAGCAGACAGUAUAGCGUUCUCCUUUUUUUUUUUUUCUUCUUCUUUUAGGCGAAGUGUACGAGCAGCUAUUACGGGAGGUUGCUGUGACGAGAGCGUCUGAGUGCGCGCGUCUGGUUCUGUUGGCGUGUCGAGAGAGCGGUCAUUUUUUUUCGGCUGUGGCGGAUGGACUCCCCUUGUCUAGCUUAUCGCGGGCGGACGGCGCGGACUUCGCUGCCUCUGUCCAUUCUUAGCUGGACGCGGCGCCGUGUUGGGGGCGCCGGGUCCACGCGCUCGCUGCACGUGCCACGCAACCCUGUGCUCGAGCUAGUGGACGCUCCGCCCGAUUCCGGCUGCUUGCCUUCGAACACGUGUAACGCCGUGAGGUGCUGUGCGAGGCUUCGAAACCUGCGCCGUUCGCCAAGUUGUAGCCUACAGCGGAGUGUGUGUAAUAAUAAAUACUACGCGGGGCGGGUCGCCACGCGCGCUCUCAUUGUGCGUUUUUAUCUCCCGCCCUAUCCCCACCUACCCUUCCUCUUCAUCCCUCACAUCCCUUUUUCCCUGGUUGGCCCGACCCGAUUUACAGAAACAAAUAUCGCUUGUGUAUAUAUGUGGACGAUUGCGUUACUGGGAUUCGAAGAUGAAUAAAAGGUUUCAAGUGAAAA